This 1239-nucleotide long non-coding RNA is filed under the name Androctonus crassicauda. Lineage: Eukaryota; Metazoa; Arthropoda; Arachnida; Scorpiones; Buthidae. The record is from RNAcentral.
GAAUUUUUGUGAAAUAUUCAAAGUUUAUAUGGUUCUAUAUUUAUGAAAAUUUGCAGAUAUAAUUUUAUAUGCUCUUUAAUACAGAUCACAAAAAAUUAUACAAAAUUUUUACAAACAAAAAUUGUUAUAAAUAUUAUGAUAAAAAACAGUUAUCAAACAGAGAUAGCCAAAGUGAGUUAGUAAGUAAUGUGGUCACCUCUUGCAGCAAUACAUGCUUCACAAUGACAUUGCAUUGCAUACUAUCAAUAAGAUUAUCCAGUUUCUCUAGGUAUUAAUGCCCACUGCUGAACUAAGGCACUUUUAAGAUUUUGAAGGGUCUGUGGAGGGGGCUGAAGAGAAACAUGUCUAGAGCAAACUAUGUAUGUUCAAUUGGGUUGAGGUCAGAAGUACGUGCUAUCCAGUGCAUACAUCUGCUAUUGUUCUCUCGAUAUUGUUCAACCAUUCUGAUACAAUGAGGACAAGUAUUAUUUAUCUUGUAGAAUAAAAUUAAUUCUCUAUUUCAGCUCUUUUUAAAUUGUAUAUUUACAAUUUAAAAAGAGAUUCUAUGAUAUCCCUAUAUUGUGUAGCAUUCAAGGAGACAUUUUGGAUGUAUAUAAAGAUUUGUGUGACUACCCAAAGAAAUGCUCAGCCACACCAUAAUGCUAUCACAAGUGUCCCUUUUGGAGAUAUUUGAAGGAUUUUAAUGAUUUCUUAGUUCUUUUCAGGUAACCCUUUGGAAAAAGUCACUUUAUAGAGCAAAUUGGGAUUCAUCUGUGAAGAAAAGCUCCAUUGAGUGCACAUUCAAGUAACAUGAGACUUGUGCCAAUUGAAACACUUUUAUGAUGAGGGUGAAGGGUAUGCAAACAAAGAUCAGAAACAGCACUACAGAAGGAACAUCAAACACAUGUGCAAUUAAAAUAACCUUAUAAGAGUGCUUUCAAUUUUAUUAAAUCCUCCUCAGAUACAUUCAAAACUUUAAAACUUGUAGAUUCCUUCUGGAAUAUUAACUAGUAGUCACCAUAGUAACACGAAAUUAAACAAUUAAGUACACAUGUACUAAUUUAAUAAACUUUAAAGUAUAAAUUUUUAACAAUAUUAAUGGAUUAUAAUAAAUAAUAACAAGCUUACAAUUUGGAUAUUAAAACAACAACAAACUACAAAUUCCUUCAACACACUUACUUUGUUAAUGCUAACUAGUUCUCCUUAUAUUAUGCAUCAUUGCCAAAUACAGCUAACAACUGAUGGGUCCACACAAUUAAC